GACGAACGCUGGCGGCGUGCUUAACACAUGCAAGUCGAACGGAAAGGCCCUGCUUGCAGGGUACUCGAGUGGCGAACGGGUGAGUAACACGUGGGUGAUCUGCCCUGCACUUCGGGAUAAGCUUGGGAAACUGGGUCUAAUACCGGAUAGGAGCCAUCUCUAGUGUGGUGGUUGGAAAGUUUUUUCGGUGUAGGAUGAGCUCGCGGCCUAUCAGCUUGUUGGUGGGGUAAUGGCCUACCAAGGCGGCGACGGGUAGCCGGCCUGAGAGGGUGUACGGCCACAUUGGGACUGAGAGACGGCCCAGACUCCUACGGGAGGCACCAGUGGGGAAUAUUGCACAAUGGGCGCAAGCCUGAUGCAGCGACGCCGCGUGGGGGAUGAAGGCCUUCGGGUUGUAAACUCCUUUCGCUAGGGACGAAGCUUUUUUGUGACGGUACCUAGAGAAGAAGCACCGGCUAACUACGUG
RNAcentral lists this ribosomal RNA (466 nucleotides) under uncultured bacterium. RNAcentral's name for it is "partial 16S ribosomal RNA". It matches the Rfam family "Bacterial small subunit ribosomal RNA", at positions 28 to 507 of the family's 1533-position model. The record is from RNAcentral.